CCCCAGCUCCGGAGAUCAUGCCCUGAAACUCAGGAGUCCCCGCCCGGAAAAACCAGACAGAGGGCAAGGCGGGCCUGUCUGGCCGCAAAGAGGUCCGUACGUCGUCCUCACGUCUUCCCGGACAUGGGACAUCUGGCUUCCAGGUGGCAGUGCGCCGUCUGAGGGGAGGCAGGUGUGGGACCUCGGGGCCUCCAGGGGAGGUGAUGGACCCGGGCAUCCCGUGCCAACUGCCCCGAGGUCCCCCGGUGCCCCCCUAGAGUCUGGACAUCCAGACAGAUGAUGGGGCGAUCGCACAAGAUGGGCGAUUUCAAAAAUAGACCGUUUGGCAACAACAGUUUAGGUUUACAGAAACAUCACAGAGGUGGUACGGAGCUCCCGUAUGCCCCACACCGACGGCGCGUUUCGGUCUCCCGUCUCCCGUCUCCCACCUCGUGGGCCUUGGUGGCUUCUCUGCGGCGGAAGGCACGGCUGUCCGGGCUGGCCCUGCGACCAGUCCACGGCGAGGGCCUCGUUGGUGAGGCGACAUCUGUGCGGCCCUCCGCUAACACCCAGAUGUUGUGUCCCCCCUCCCCGGCCGGGAGCCAGGCCGGCACAGCACCGCUGAAGAAAACCAUCUGUUUCAUCAGGCUGGCUCUGGAAUGCUGUGCGGCUGGGUCUGAAGCCCCCGGUUGCAGCCCCCCAAAGCCACGCACCCGACUCCAACAAAAGAAGCACAGAAUAGGAACCGCUCGCGGGCUGCCAAAGCCGCCUUUCCCGGGCGGAGCGGGGCAGUGGUCACUUGGCAGGAGUGAAGGUCUCGCUGCCUGGAGUCGUACUUGGAGGAGCACGGAGUUGGUUCGGUUGCUCUGGAGGCCCGUGGAAAUGAACGUGACCUGCGUGUGGAAGGCGCGGCUCCCGGCUGCGCGGGCCGUGGGCUGUGGCCGGGCUGUGGCAGCAGAAGACGCAAAGGGACUGAGUGUCCAGCUCCCAGCUCCAGCCCUCGGGGCCCCCAGUGACAGUUCCUCGGCAUCACUCUGAUCCCGACCGAGUGGGGUGUUCACAUUGUGAAAUGAGCUGCGUGGCUGACCUGAAUGAAUCCUUACCUAGCGAAUUAAAAAAAAAAUUUUUUUGAACUAAUGACAGAGUCAGUAAUUAUAGACCCUGCACAAACGUGGGUCCCCGUGGACGCGUCUCCCGGCGGAGGCACCUGCACAGCUUCGGUGGUUGGACUGUGGGGACCAGGAGCAGGGAGGGGGCUGCAGGCGGCGUGGGG
Molecule: long non-coding RNA, 1252 nt
Filed under: Canis lupus familiaris (dog)
Lineage: Eukaryota; Metazoa; Chordata; Mammalia; Carnivora; Canidae
Description: lncRNA (ENSCAFG00030015269.1)
Source: RNAcentral